Molecule: long non-coding RNA, 761 nt
Filed under: Equus caballus (horse)
Lineage: Eukaryota; Metazoa; Chordata; Mammalia; Perissodactyla; Equidae
Description: lncRNA (ENSECAG00000060121.1)
Source: RNAcentral
CUUACCCAGAGGCCCUGGGGACAGGGUCUCGGGCUAUAGUUGGUCUCUGUUUCUUCCUGUCACAUCCACACCCCACCUGGUGGGCUCUGGGAUCCCAAAGCAGGGCCUCAAAGCCCCGCUGCUGAUGUGGCAGGGUUGUGCCAGGUCACAGAAAGUCACAUGCUGUGAUUCAGGCACAUGACGACAUCCCAUGCUUCCUGCCCCAAGACCUGGCUUCAUCAUGGACGGACCUAUGAGGAUGGUUCCAGCCUCUCCACUCAGGCAGGUUCAAGGAGAAGCCAGCUGCCACGCUGUGAGCAGCCCUGUGGGGAGGCUCACACGGCAAGGAACUGAGGCCUCCUGACAACGGCCAGUAAGAGACUGAGGCCUCCAGGAAACAACGACAUGAAUGAACUGGGAAGCGAAUACAGCUGACGGCAGCCUCAGGGACAUCUUCCGCGCAACUUCAUGAGAGACCCUAGAACCACCCAGCUAAGAUACCUGAAUUCCUCACCCACUGCGAGAUAACAAGUGUUUGUUGUUCUAAGCUGCUAAAUUUGGGGUAAUUUUUGUGCAGCCACAAAUAACUAAAACAACAUAUUUUGGACAUUUUUCUAUUGAGUUUUUUUUCUCUUUCUAAUUAAUUUGUAGGAAUUUUUAAGAAUAUCCUAGACACUAACUUCUUGUUAGUUACAUAGGGUACAAAUAUCUUCUCCCAAACUUUCGCUUUUCUUUUUGCUUUAUUUGUGGUGCUUUUUGAUAACAAAGGUUUAACAUGUAAU